AGCGAACGCUGGCGGCAGGCCUAAAACAUGCAAGUCGAGCGCCGUAGCAAUACGGAGCGGCAGACGGGUGAGUAACACGUGGGAACGUGCCCUUUGGUUCGGAACAACACAGGGAAACUUGUGCUAAUACCGGAUAAGCCCUUACGGGAAAGAUUAUCGCCAAAGGAUCGGCCCGCGUCUGAUUAGCUAGUUGGGUGGGGUAACGGGACCCGACCCAACGGACGACGAUACAGUAGCUGGUCUGAGAGGAUGAUCAGCCACACUGGGAC
This 269-nucleotide ribosomal RNA is filed under the name uncultured bacterium. Its description in RNAcentral is "partial 16S ribosomal RNA". It matches the Rfam family "Bacterial small subunit ribosomal RNA", at positions 29 to 319 of the family's 1533-position model. The record is from RNAcentral.